CCUACGGGAGGCAGCAGUGGGGAAUUUUGGACAAUGGGCGCAAGCCUGAUCCAGCCAUGCCGCGUGAGUGAAGAAGGCCUUCGGGUUGUAAAGCUCUUUCGGUGGGGAAGAAAUGGUUUCGGUUAAUACCCGGAACUGAUGACGGUACCCGCAUAAGAAGCACCGGCU
Molecule: ribosomal RNA, 168 nt
Filed under: uncultured bacterium
Lineage: Bacteria
Description: partial 16S ribosomal RNA
Rfam family: Bacterial small subunit ribosomal RNA
Source: RNAcentral